RNAcentral lists this ribosomal RNA (1372 nucleotides) under uncultured bacterium. RNAcentral's name for it is "bacterial SSU rRNA". It matches the Rfam family "Bacterial small subunit ribosomal RNA", at positions 28 to 1381 of the family's 1533-position model. The record is from RNAcentral.
GAUGAACGCUGGCGGCGUGCCUAAUACAUGCAAGUCGAGCGAACGGACGAGAAGCUUGCUUCUCUGAUGUUAGCGGCGGACGGGUGAGUAACACGUGGAUAACCUACCUAUAAGACUGGGAUAACUUCGGGAAACCGGAGCUAAUACCGGAUAAUAUUUUGAACCGCAUGGUUCAAAAGUGAAAGACGGUCUUGCUGUCACUUAUAGAUGGAUCCGCGCUGCAUUAGCUAGUUGGUAAGGUAACGGCUUACCAAGGCAACGAUGCAUAGCCGACCUGAGAGGGUGAUCGGCCACACUGGAACUGAGACACGGUCCAGACUCCUACGGGAGGCAGCAGUAGGGAAUCUUCCGCAAUGGGCGAAAGCCUGACGGAGCAACGCCGCGUGAGUGAUGAAGGUCUUCGGAUCGUAAAACUCUGUUAUUAGGGAAGAACAUAUGUGUAAGUAACUGUGCACAUCUUGACGGUACCUAAUCAGAAAGCCACGGCUAACUACGUGCCAGCAGCCGCGGUAAUACGUAGGUGGCAAGCGUUAUCCGGAAUUAUUGGGCGUAAAGCGCGCGUAGGCGGUUUUUUAAGUCUGAUGUGAAAGCCCACGGCUCAACCGUGGAGGGUCAUUGGAAACUGGAAAACUUGAGUGCAGAAGAGGAAAGUGGAAUUCCGUGUGUAGCGGUGAAAUGCGCAGAGAUAUGGAGGAACACCAGUGGCGAAGGCGACUUUCUGGUCUGUAACUGACGCUGAUGUGCGAAAGCGUGGGGAUCAAACAGGAUUAGAUACCCUGGUAGUCCACGCCGUAAACGAUGAGUGCUAAGUGUUAGGGGGUUUCCGCCCCUUAGUGCUGCAGCUAACGCAUUAAGCACUCCGCCUGGGGAGUACGACCGCAAGGUUGAAACUCAAAGGAAUUGACGGGGACCCGCACAAGCGGUGGAGCAUGUGGUUUAAUUCGAAGCAACGCGAAGAACCUUACCAAAUCUUGACAUCCUUUGACAACUCUAGAGAUAGAGCCUUCCCCUUCGGGGGACAAAGUGACAGGUGGUGCAUGGUUGUCGUCAGCUCGUGUCGCGAGAUGUUGGGUUAAGUCCCGCAACGAGCGCAACCCUUAAGCUUAGUUGCCAUCAUUAAGUUGGGCACUCUAAGUUGACUGCCGGUGACAAACCGGAGGAAGGUGGGGAUGACGUCAAAUCAUCAUGCCCCUUAUGAUUUGGGCUACACACGUGCUACAAUGGACAAUACAAAGGGCAGCGAAACCGCGAGGUCAAGCAAAUCCCAUAAAGUUGUUCUCAGUUCGGAUUGUAGUCUGCAACUCGACUACAUGAAGCUGGAAUCGCUAGUAAUCGUAGAUCAGCAUGCUACGGUGAAUACGUUCCCGGGUCU